This 6033-nucleotide ribosomal RNA is filed under the name Triticum aestivum (bread wheat). RNAcentral describes it as "partial small subunit ribosomal RNA". Lineage: Eukaryota; Viridiplantae; Streptophyta; Magnoliopsida; Poales; Poaceae. The record is from RNAcentral.
AUGCAUGCCCGCAGAGUUGCACACUCUUGCCGGUAUAGAAGCACAUGCCCGGCCGUGGAGUUGCACGCUCUUGUUCGAGUAGUCACGCAUGCACUCCUGCGGAGUUGCACACUCUUGUCGACUCUUGUCGGCAUAGGAGCACACGCCCGGCCGCAGAGUUGCACACUCUCGUCCGCGUACGUAGUCGCACACACACGAUCACGGAGGUGCACACUCACUUCCAAGCAGUCGCACACGCACGGCCACAGAGGUGCACACGGGUCUGCAAACCGUUCUUCUCGGCAGAAUUCGAAACGGCAUGCUGAUCGGCAGUCUCGUCGUGUUGAUAUCGAUAGGGAGGUAGAGGAUGAUGAGGUUGGUGACCAAUUCUGCAUUGUGAAACGAUGGAAAUGGAAGGCGGCCGCGCUGGUGGGAGUUGUGUAUGAAGAUGGCACAUCGUUUGCAACAGUUGUUGAGAUGCCAACUACUGAAAUUCAGACCCCACAAGUAGAUGGAUAUGGCAUUGCACGAAAAUCAGUUAAAAGAGCACAAGUACCAGAUCUCCCCGUUUUAAUCUCUGUUUAUGCUAUCUUCAACAACUAUGGAGAAGCUACUUUUGCAAAGAGAAAUUUGGUGAGGGAGAAAGGGAAAGGCAAGGAGGAAGGACCUGAACAGGAGGAGAAAGGAUCACCUCUUUUUCCACCCUUGCUGGUGCCUACUGCCUGCUCUAGCAAUGGAGAUCCAGACAUGAAAACCCCUUUGUUUCAUGGAUCGUGGUGCGCCGUUGGGGUGGUGGGAGCGGCGCCCAGACGAAUAAGUCUGCCUCAGCUUCACUCCCACACCGGCAGUGUCGUUCAUGGUGGCGUCUCGGAGUUGAUGGCAUCGUGUGAUUGCCUAUCCUUCGGAUCGGUUCUGUUAGGGUUCAUGGAUGAUGUCGGCGAGGCAGCGACGGCGACUCCAUCAGGUGUGUCUCUCCUUCCGCUCUGUCCCCGUUGCUGUGGCGUUGUCUCCAACGUCAUGGUGGAGCAGAGAGGUUUUGUCAUCCAGGAGUACGCGCAGACGGCUGUCUGCGCAAGUGACAGCUGGAAGAUGGUGCAUCCCGUGCUGGGUUUGUGGUUGGUGGCUGAUAGUUCUGGUUUCCUCCUUCGACGUCGUUGUCGUGCUGGGGUGUCUGAUCUAGAGUUCGAUGGCGUGUCCGGGGACAUGUUGCCCCGGUCCGAUUCUUUCAACGGCAAUGGUUUUGCUUUUGACAAACUACUUUCGAGGUCCGUAAAGCUGCUGAUCAGCGAUGGAGCCGCGUUGAGCUCGGGUGAAGAGCCAUGGUACAUACCUGUGCCGUGGCAUGCCUCCUACGGUCCUAUCUCGUACGGCGUCCUGGUCUUUCUUGCGGGGCCAGUGGGCCAGCCUGCGAAUUUAACACCAGCCAAUACAACCAACGAUGGCCUGGAUACCGAGCCCACUGAGCGCCGUCCUCCGAAACAAUUUCGGCUGUCGCGGCUCACUAGCGCGUUGGCUAAGGUCGUGGGCCAGCGGACGAACGCGACGGCCCAGUCUGGGAAUAAACUAACGCAGCCCCUGGAAACCGGCCUGCCACUAACUGACCGAAACGGGCGGCCGGCCCGUGGCCGUUCGAUCGCGCGAGCGAUCGCUCCCAGAUCCGCCAGGUGCCACCUGGUCGCGCACCGCGGUCGUGGGCGGUUUUGUCCGCAUCCGGACGUGGGAGGCCCACCUUGUGCUCUCUCUCCCCAUUCCUUCAUCGUCUUCCUCCUCGCCAUCCUCUUCACCGAACGGGGCGUGGCGGGCGGAGUGCUCAGAUUUGACGGCGGCUUGCGGGUGGUUCUCCUCGCCGGGGAAUCGCUGGUGCUCCUCGCCGCCGGAGGUAUGCUCUCCCUCCACUUCUACAUGCUUCUCCUCCCUUUCUCUAUCUCGCGGAGCGCGGAUGGUGCCGAAAUGCGAGAAGAAUGCUCUCUAGGGUUCGGGAACGGCGCGAACUACCCCCGCUUAUCUUCGAUUUCCUGCGAUUUUAGGGCGAUUUUAGGGCGAGGGGAAUGCGAGGUCACGUUGAGUUCCGUUCUCCCAUCUCGCAGCACGCGCCCAACGGUGGUCGGGAUCUACAAGGUAUUACUUGUCACAGUUGGCAAGGCAAAAAUGGUUAUAAUAGGAGGAGAUGCGGGUGGCAAUCAAGGAGAUCGUUCUGGAAGUCAGCCUCUUCGCCGGAACUCGAAGCGUCCUGCUAAUCGCCAGCCACGACCUGCACAGAGUGUUGAGCAGGGAGAGGAUGUUGAGGAUGCUGAACAGUUCUGUGUUGUAAAGCGGACUAGACGUGCAGCACUUGGCAAGGGAGCUGAGUCAUCUUCUAGGGCAGCAGUUGCUGGAGAAGCUGUCGCAUCUUCCGCAGCAGAUGCUGAGGGCAGCGGUGAAGGAGUUGAGGUGCCUCCAGGGGAAGAUGUGGAGCGACCAUCACAAGCAGGCAGGAUAAGGGUAUCACCAGCGCGCUUUGCAAAUUUCAACGCCUCUCUAACCCCACUACAGAAAUCAGAGCUAGUUUCGAGGUCGGUCGGGGGGCUAUUGAACUUAUCAGACACACUUCCAGCGGACCUCACUAAGUUCCUGGUGCAGUCCUACCAGCCACAGACCUCUGAAAUGGUUUUCCCAGGAAGGGGAAGGAUCCGUGUCAAUGCUGACAGUGUUCAGAGGAUCACUACAUGGCUCAAGAUGAUUGAGCAUAUGGCUGGAAGAACGGAUGACACAUUCUUUAUGGCCUGGCUUGCGGUUGCCUUCAGCACUUUUCUAGCACCAACCACGGCCUUGAAGCUCAGCCCAAAGUGUUAUGGACUUGUGCUAGAUCAUCAAAUGCUAAAGAAUAUAAACAUCUGCCUCUUUGUAGCAGAACACAUUAACGAAGCUUUCCGGAACAUGGACCAGGAGAAGCAAACUAUUUGUUGCUGCUUGUAUCACUUGAUGAUACUAUACCUUGAUGCGCUCGUACAUGACAUCCCAGUAAGCAACUGCGCGAUACGAUCGAAUGCAUGGGAUAGUACUCUAAUUGCCAAGGUGAUCAAGAAGGAUACUAUCUCUCCUGGUGUGUUCGGCAAAUUGCAACUUAAAGAGGAGUAUAGAGGCACGGAGCAGACACCACUGUUUGGUGGAAUUUUGCAAGCUGAAGCAUUUGUGGCAUCCAAAUUACCAAUAACAUACAAUCCGCAGAAAAAGGCAAAAAUUGCGAAAGUGGUCAAUGAGCUGUGCAAGGCUGUAACUGAACAGGUUGGCACCUUCAUUGAAGAAGUUGCCAAGAUUGAUGACGAGGAACCAGAUAUUGAUCCUUACGUACAGCAGCCAUCAAUGCAAACUGGGGCAUCACGCCGUGCUCCAAAAAGAAAGAGACGGCGGUCAACUAUACAAGAAGAAGAAGAAUUUGUUGAGGAUGAUUCAGAAGAAGAUGAGGAAAUGGAAGCAGCGAUAGAUGCUGACGACGAUGAGGAGACAGAUGCGGAUGAAUCAUAUGAGGAGGACAAGGAUGAGGAUGACAAUGAAGAAGAUGCAGACGAGGAGGAGGAUGAGAAGGAAGAGGAGGAGGAGGAGAAGGAGGAGGAGGAGGAGGACAAACAAGAAGAGGACAAAGGAGAGGAGGAGGACAAGGAAGAAGAUAGUGAUGCAGAGGAGGAGGAAGAAGAAGGUGAGGCCAGAGAGGGGGACGGGGACAAAGGGGCAGCGGUUGAUGGCAGUGAGAGGGGAGAAGACAAAGGCGCAACAGCUGAUGGCAGUGAGAGGGAAGAAGACGAGGAUGAUUAUGGUGAUGAUAAAGGGGGAUCCAAUGGAGGCAGCGACAGCAGCGAUGACGAUGAUGAUGACAACGCCCCUGGUUCUGGUGGUACAGGUGGCAACACAUCCAGGAGGACUAGCACUCAUGCCAACCCUGCGAGCAGCAGCAAUUCAUUGAGUAGCAGGAGCACACUACAGAUGUUGAUUGACAAGACUUGCUGGAAAGACAAGGAUUUUCCAAAGUCAAAGAAAAAUGACGAAGCAGAGUCUCAGGGCAGCAUUGAUAUGUUCAAGCUCUGCAAUUUGAAGCCAGCUUUGCCAACCACCUUUCCCGUGCCAGAUUUCAGCGACAAAGAUAUGUGUGAAAAGAUCAACUUUGCCAUUGACAAGAGCCUGUUCUUAUCAACUGAUGCUGAAAAGAAUCAAAUUGACAUGGAGGAAGCAGGAAAGGGUCUUGACUGGGUUCAUUCAAAGGAAAAAUACAAGGAAUAUUUAAAGCAGCUCCCAGACCUAAGCUCCAGCAAGAGCAAGGCAGCAUCCACGGCAAACCCUCACGUGGUUCAGAAGCGUAAAGAAGUUUCAAUUAAGAAGAAUCUGCAGUUGCCUCAAAUCAAGGAGAAGAUGGUGAGUGCAGGUGCUGAAGUAAAUAUGAUCAAGAAAGCUGUGCUUCAAACUGAUAUGCCAACAGUAGUGAGCAGAGAGCCAACCAAUGUCAGAGAAGUUCAACAGAUCAAGGGGAAGACUCCCCUUUCAACAGUCCCACCAAAACCACCUAAGCAGAAGAUUAUCAAGUUUGCCAGGGGCGCAAAGGGGGAACAGGCCACAAAAGAUUUGGGGUUCAGAGACGAGAGAGAGCUGCGAGCCGCAGCCAUUGAUGCAGGGGUGCCAAGUUCUGCCAGGUUGCUGCCAACUCAGACUGGAAAGAUGCCAACUACAGAUACCAGUGUGCCAACUGAUGUAGAUGCUUCAAUGCCAAACACAAAAGGAGGUCAUCCAACUGUCAAAGUGUCGUCCCCAAGAGCUAUCUUUCAGCAACCAUUAACACAAGAGGAGGUGUUCGACAUUAUAAGUAGGUGCAAGCCUCCAAGGCCGCCAACUACAACACUAUUGCGAACCAAGUCAGUGAAUGAUGCACCCGUGUUUGUGCUGCAAGGAGAUGCCCUGGUCUUUGAACCCUUACGAAGAUCAAACUCUUAUCAUGGUGACGGGUUCUGCGAUGCACCAUCUUUUGACCUCGGCAUAGAUGGUGAUGCUCCAGCACCUGCUCCAGCAGCAGAAACAGCGGAAGCCGGUGUGAUCAGCAUCGAUGAGUGUGAGUUAUACCCAGCAGCUGUGAAUGAAGGAUGUGAUGCUGCUGAUGCUGGCAAGGCAAUAGCUCAAGAACUAGAUGUUGGUUCACCAGAGAAUUGCCACACCCGGAUAUGCGCAGAACCAGAACUUGGCACGAGCAGUUCUUCGGGGCCACCUCUUGCACGAAGACAGAGGAGGGUAAGAAGGCCCGCAGCAUCUCAAAGGUCUCCAUUCAUCGACUACAACAAGAACAAGACUUUCAGCACCAAUGAGGUAGUGAACAAGCUUUACACUGCCCUCUUGUAUUGGGUCAGGCAUCACAAAGGAGCAGAUGAUGGAGCUACCAGCCCUGAGAUAAUCAGGUAUGGUGCUUUCUACACUUCUUUAAAGGAGUUAGUUGAUUCGAUGAAGCCGGUUCAAUGGUUGUCAAAAAUUGUUAUUGAGACUAGAAUCUUACACAUAAUGGAUAACUUACCAGAAGGGUCAAAGAAGGUUGUUAUGCCACUGAGGUUUUCUAUAAAAUUACAGCAAGGGAUCCACAAUAUGAAUGAGAUGAACAAGAAGUUUGAUUAUAAGAACCGUCUCGACAAGAAAGACUUGGUCAUGCUGCCAGUGCUCGAGUGCGCAGAUGUAACCGAUAAGGACGGAGGGAGGCAUUAUUGGGUCUUUAGUGUCAACUUGAGGGACGGACGCUUCGAAGUUCUUAAUUCAAGCAGAACGCUGGACAACAUUGAGCUAAUGAACAACGCCUCUACCAUUGCGGGGGCAGUACGCCAGCUAUGGAGGAAGCAUUACCCAAAGUUCAGCAUCGAGCACUUCCAUAUUAUUGACAUUGACAUACCAAAGCAGCUUGGCAAUAAUGAGUGUGGGUUGUUCGCACUGCUUAACGCCACCGAGUGGAAUGGUAGCCAACUGCCCAACUACGACCCCAAGGAAGUACUCAACAUCAGGAAGAAGCUGACGUAUGAUUGGGUCACCAGCGUGCACAACACCGCCCCAUGA